RNAcentral lists this transfer RNA (68 nucleotides) under Marmota monax (woodchuck). Its description in RNAcentral is "tRNA.Ala". The stretch from base 6 to 64 matches the Rfam family "tRNA", at positions 7 to 64 of the family's 71-position model. From Rfam's summary of the family: Transfer RNA (tRNA) molecules are approximately 80 nucleotides in length. Their secondary structure includes four short double-helical elements and three loops (D, anti-codon, and T loops). Further hydrogen bonds mediate the characteristic L-shaped molecular structure. tRNAs have two regions of fundamental functional importance: the anti-codon, which is responsible for specific mRNA codon recognition, and the 3' end, to which the tRNAs corresponding amino acid is attached (by aminoacyl-tRNA synthetases). tRNAs cope with the degeneracy of the genetic code in two manners: having more than one tRNA (with a specific anti-codon) for a particular amino acid; and 'wobble' base-pairing, i.e. permitting non-standard base-pairing at the 3rd anti-codon position. The record is from RNAcentral. Lineage: Eukaryota; Metazoa; Chordata; Mammalia; Rodentia; Sciuridae.
GGAUCAUGGCUCAGUGGUAGAGCACUUGCCUAGCAUGUGUGAGGCCCUGGGUUCAAUCCUCAGUACCA